UCCUAAGGAAGCGAUCGUACACCAACCUUCCAGAUCGAUCACCAUCCUUGUGAUGAUCCUAUGGUCAAGAGCUGUUUAUGAGUUACUUAUGUAAAUUCAUGCCUUAAAUUGUCAACUCUUGAAAAUAUGAGUUUACAUUCUCACUAACUCAAAGGAUGUAUCACAGACACAAUGUACACAAUGUGAUAGAAGAAUAAUCCUUUUAUUCAUUUAUAAUUAAAAUUAUAAAUUUAUCCUUAGAUCUGUACAGGAAUGUGUCAGUCGAUCUGGCAUCUAGGGCACACA
This 285-nucleotide long non-coding RNA is filed under the name Elaeis guineensis (African oil palm). RNAcentral describes it as "long non-coding RNA (EGUI_LNC049095)". Lineage: Eukaryota; Viridiplantae; Streptophyta; Magnoliopsida; Arecales; Arecaceae. The record is from RNAcentral.